This 465-nucleotide ribosomal RNA is filed under the name Vreelandella stevensii. Its description in RNAcentral is "partial 16S ribosomal RNA". It matches the Rfam family "Bacterial small subunit ribosomal RNA", at positions 338 to 795 of the family's 1533-position model. The record is from RNAcentral. Lineage: Bacteria; Pseudomonadati; Pseudomonadota; Gammaproteobacteria; Oceanospirillales; Halomonadaceae.
CCUACGGGGGGCUGCAGUGGGGAAUAUUGGACAAUGGGGGGAACCCUGAUCCAGCCAUGUCGCGUGUGUGAAGAAGGCCCUCGGGUUGUAAAGCACUUUCAGUGAGGAAGAACGCCUGGUGGUUAAUACCCAUCAGGAAAGACAUCACUCACAGAAGAAGCACCGGCUAACUCCGUGCCAGCAGCCGCGGUAAUACGGAGGGUGCGAGCGUUAAUCGGAAUUACUGGGCGUAAAGCGCGCGUAGGUGGCUUGAUAAGCCGGUUGUGAAAGCCCCGGGCUCAACCUGGGAACGGCAUCCGGAACUGUCAAGCUAGAGUGCAGGAGAGGAAGGUAGAAUUCCCGGUGUAGCGGUGAAAUGCGUAGAGAUCGGGAGGAAUACCAGUGGCGAAGGCGGCCUUCUGGACUGACACUGACACUGAGGUGCGAAAGCGUGGGUAGCAAACAGGAUUAGAUACCCGAGUAGUC